Molecule: ribosomal RNA, 491 nt
Filed under: uncultured bacterium
Lineage: Bacteria
Description: partial 16S ribosomal RNA
Rfam family: Bacterial small subunit ribosomal RNA
Source: RNAcentral
GUGAACGCUGGCGGUAGGCCUAACACAUGCAAGUCGAACGGCAGCACAGUAAGAGCUUGCUCUUACGGGUGGCGAGUGGCGGACGGGUGAGGAAUACAUCGGAAUCUACUUUUUCGUGGGGGAUAACGUAGGGAAACUUACGCUAAUACCGCAUACGACCUACGGGUGAAAGCAGGGGAUCUUCGGACCUUGCGCGAUUGAAUGAGCCGAUGUCGGAUUAGCUAGUUGGCGGGGUAAAGGCCCACCAAGGCGACGAUCCGUAGCUGGUCUGAGAGGAUGAUCAGCCACACUGGAACUGAGACACGGUCCAGACUCCUACGGGAGGCAGCAGUGGGGAAUAUUGGACAAUGGGCGCAAGCCUGAUCCAGCCAUACCGCGUGGGUGAAGAAGGCCUUCGGGUUGUAAAGCCCUUUUGUUGGGAAAGAAAAGCAGCAGGUUAAUACCCCGCUGUUCUGACGGUACCCAAAGAAUAAGCACCGGCUAACCUCGUG